This 1143-nucleotide long non-coding RNA is filed under the name Solanum tuberosum (potato). Its description in RNAcentral is "long non-coding RNA (STUB_LNC006907)". The record is from RNAcentral. Lineage: Eukaryota; Viridiplantae; Streptophyta; Magnoliopsida; Solanales; Solanaceae.
AUUUGAGGCAUAGUUGUUAUUGUGGUACUGCACAAUAUUGGAUGUAGCUAAUCUCUUGGUGUAAUAACAUGCACUUAUUGCUGAAUAUCAAUAAAACUACCUUUACCUGUCAAAAGAACACAAAAGUAUUGUUUUAUUAACCUAGAAGAUUUGAAUGUUUAAUGUAGAGGUCUGCAAAGAAAGUAGACACCUUGCAUAAAUCCCUCUCGCCACUAUGUACCAUUUUUCUGGAGUAGGGAGUGGGUGGUAUGAGGUCACUUUUAUGUACAUUCAGGUGUAGGGAAAUUGUUUACAGUCUUUAGAUGAUACUGCGUUUUAUCCUUUUCCACUUUAAAGUCUCUUAAACAACUUCAUUAAAAAAAUUUGUCUUGCAUGCAGCACCAGACACUAGUAAGGAACUAAAUCCCGAUGUACCUUCAUUAACUCUUGAUCCAAGUCAGUUUCAUGGUACCAUGCGGCAUGCAAAGGGUGAGGGUGACUCUGAUUGCUGGUCUUCGCCAAGUGGUUCUGGUUUCAUGAUCAGAGGGAAGACAUACUUGAAAGACAGUACGAAGGUAGCUUUUAAUUCUUGAAUCCAAAUAUUUGGAUCAAGCUUUCACAUGUUCCUGAAUUUUUUUUUCCAGCUUUCUAAUUCCUGCUUCUCUUUCGUUAGCUAAUUAAUUACAAGAGUCACCUAUUUAGCAGUUUUGAGUGUAAAGAAAAGAACAAAGACCUAGGGUAUUAUUGACUCAUAAAAAAUUGUGCCUAUGGACAAUUUGUUUGUUUUUAUUCAUUGCUGAUAACCAAGGGAUGCCAAUUGAUUUUUUGAGCUCUAUCUUUAAAAAAAAAGAAAUUUAUUUUUGAGCUCAGUACAUAAUAUGUGAUUUGAGGCAUAGUUGUUAUUGUGGUACUGCACAAUAUUGGAUGUAGCUAAUCUCUUGGUGUAAUAACAUGCACUUAUUGCUGAAUAUCAAUAAAACUACCUUUACCUGUCAAAAGAACACAAAAGUAUUGUUUUAUUAACCUAGAAGAUUUGAAUGUUUAAUGUAGAGGUCUGCAAAGAAAGUAGACACCUUGCAUAAAUCCCUCUCGCCACUAUGUACCAUUUUUCUGGAGUAGGGAGUGGGUGGUAUGAGGUCACUUUUAUGUACAUUCAGGUGUAGG